Molecule: ribosomal RNA, 440 nt
Filed under: uncultured bacterium
Lineage: Bacteria
Description: partial 16S ribosomal RNA
Rfam family: Bacterial small subunit ribosomal RNA
Source: RNAcentral
CCUACGUGGGGCAGCAGUGGGGGAUAUUGCACAAUGGGGGGAACCCUGAUGCAGCGACGCCGCGUGGGUGAAGAAGCGCCUCGGCGCGUAAAGCCCUGUCAGCAGGGAAGAAAAUGACGGUACCUGAAGAAGCAGCCCCGGCUAACUAAGUGCCAGCAGCCGCGGUAAUCCGUAGGGGGCAAGCGUUAUCCGGCUUUACUGGGUGUAACGGGGGCGCAGACGGCGAUGCAAGCCAGGAGUGAAAGCCCGGGGCCCAACCCCGGGACUGCUCUUGGAACUGCGUGGCUGGAGUGCAGGAGGGGCAGGCGGAAUUCCUGGUGUAGCGGUGAAAUGCGUAGAUAUCAGGAGGAACACCGGUGGCGAAGGCGGCCUGCUGGACUGCAACUGACGUUGAGGCCCGAAAGCGUGGGGAGCAAACAGGAUUAGAUACCCGAGUAGUC